Molecule: non-coding RNA, 373 nt
Filed under: Drosophila sechellia
Lineage: Eukaryota; Metazoa; Arthropoda; Insecta; Diptera; Drosophilidae
Description: Eukaryotic large subunit ribosomal RNA
Rfam family: Eukaryotic large subunit ribosomal RNA
Source: Rfam by way of RNAcentral
CAACCUCAACUCAUAUGGGACUACCCCCUGAAUUUAAGCAUAUUAAUUAGGGGAGGAAAAGAAACUAACAAGGAUUUUCUUAGUAGCGGCGAGCGAAAAGAAAACAGUUCAGCACUAAGUCACUUUGUCUAUAUGGCAAAUGUGAGAUGCAGUGUAUGGGAGCGUCAAUAUUCUAGUAUGAGAAAUUAAUGAUUUAAGUCCUUCUUAAAUGAGGCCAUUUACCCAUAGAGGGUGCCCAGGCCCGUAUAACGUUAAUGAUUGCUAGAUGAUGUUUCCCAAGAGUCGUGUUGCUUGAUAGUGCAGCACUAAGUAGGUGGGUAAACUCCAUCUAAAACUAAAUAUAACCAUGAGACCCGAUAGUAAACAAGUACCG